Molecule: ribosomal RNA, 1347 nt
Filed under: metagenome
Description: bacterial LSU rRNA
Rfam family: Bacterial large subunit ribosomal RNA
Source: RNAcentral
CAAUAAAAGGGACGCAGGUACGUGGUGGCUGCGGGGUGACGGAAGUCCCCGCUGAGCCUAGCCUUCGGGCGAAGCGAAGUCAUAAAAUCCCUGCCAAGAAAAGCGAGCAUAUGCAGCCCGUACCGUAAACCGACACAGGUAGUCGAGUCGAGUAGACUCAGGCGCUCGAGUGGAUCAUGGCUAAGGAACUCGGCAAAUUAGCCCCGUAACUUCGGGAGAAGGGGCGCUCCGUGCAAACGGAGCCGCAGUGAAGAGGUCCAGGCGACUGUUUAACAAAAACACAGGACUCUGCCAAAUCGAAAGAUGAAGUAUAGGGUCUGACACCUGCCCGGUGCCGGAAGGUUAAGGAAGGGGGUUAGUGGCGCAAGCUGCGAAGCUCUUGACUGAAGCCCCGGUAAACGGCGGCCGUAACGAUAACGGUCCUAAGGUAGCGAAAUUCCUUGUCGGGUAAGUUCCGACCUGCACGAAUGGUGUAACGAUCUGGACGCUGUCUCAGCCAUGAGCUCGGUGAAAUUGCAGUAUCGGUGAAGAUGCCGAUUACCCGCAACGGGACGGAAAGACCCUGUGAACCUUUACUAUAACUUCACAUUGUGCUUGAGCAUAAGAUGUGUAGGAUAGGUGGGAGGCUGUGAAGUGGGGACGCUAGUCCUUGUGGAGCCGACGUUGAAAUACCACCCAUCUUAUGCUUAGGUUCUAACCCCGAUUUAUCGGGGGACCGUGUGUGGUGGGUAGUUUGACUGGGGUGGUCGCCUCCUAAAAAGUAACGGAGGCUCGCAAAGGUACCCUCCGCAUGGUUGGUAAUCAUGCUUAGAGCGUAUAAGUACAAGGGUGCUUGACUGUAAGAACGACGGUUCGAACAGGUGCGAAAGCAGGCUUAAGUGAUCCGGUAGUUCUGCAUGGAAGGGCUAUCGCUCAAAGGAUAAAAGGUACUCCGGGGAUAACAGGCUGAUCUCCCCCAAGAGCUCACAUCGACGGGGAGGUUUGGCACCUCGAUGUCGGCUCGUCGCAUCCUGGGGCUGGAGAAGGUCCCAAGGGUUGGGCUGUUCGCCCAUUAAAGCGGCACGCGAGCUGGGUUCAGAACGUCGCAAGACAGUUCGGUCCCUAUCUGUUGUGGGCGUAGGAAUAUUGAAGGGAGCUAACUUUAGUACGAGGACCGGGUUGGACGUACCGCUAGUGUACCAGUUGUGUCGCCAGAUGCAGUGCUGGGUAGCUAUGUACGGCAUGGAUAAGCGCUGAAAGCAUCUAAGCGCGAAGCCAUCCCUAAGAUGAGUAUUCCAUUGAGGGUCGUGGAAGAUGACCACGUUGAUAGGCGACAGGUAUAAGUGCAGUGAUGCAUUGAGCCGAGUC